Patella vulgata (common limpet) is the source of this 10656-nucleotide RNA transcript. It is a transcript of the gene named hepatocyte growth factor receptor, with no coding region annotated. The record is from RefSeq and is a predicted model, not a curated record. The transcript has 21 exons. Lineage: Eukaryota; Metazoa; Mollusca; Gastropoda; Patellidae.
CCGACUAUCUUGGAAUACCGACAGUGUCACACACGGAAGAUUGUUGUGUAAAUGGAACUAGUUCAAACAUUAAAUAUACUUCCAUUCCUUUGACACAUAUUUAAAAGAAUACUGAGGCAAUGAUUCAAUAUGUCUACCUGUUACAUUAACUCCAGUUAUGUUGUUAUCUGUGUAUUCAUUUUAUUAUUCAAUUUAAUUUGUGGAUCGAAUUGUUCAAACUUUAUGACAGUUAUAGAAAUUGAUGGAGAAUCCACUCGGUUGCAGAAACUAAUAGCUGAUAAUGAAACAGGAGAAAUAUAUGUUGGGGGGCAAAACACCUUGGUUCAGCUUAAUCCAGCACUUGAAAUUAAAAACCAGGUGACAAUAGGUCCAACAAAUGAUAACAAAAAUUGUUUACCAUUUCCUGAAAGUUGUCAUGAACAAAGAAUCAAAAUGGCUAAUGACGUUAAGAUACUUGAAAUUGAUCAUAGAAAGCGUAAAUUGUUAGUUUGUGGUAGUGGACAACAAGGUCUUUGUUACAUGCACAGUUUAAUAAAUAUCACUAAUCUGCAAGCCAUGGACAGAACCACCAUUACAAAUUUUGUGGGAAGUCGUUCUUCUAGUGCAGCAUUUUUUGGUUUGGUUAAUAAUAACAAUUUUUUAUAUGUUAUGCAGACGUAUGAUAAAAGGAACUUAAGUCUUUCACCACUACUGCUAUCGACAAGAAGAAUUGAACAGUUUAAUCAUGGUUUUAAUAUUUCUUAUUUUGUUGAUGAGCCGGAGCUUGAUUUGUUUUCUGGUCUUGAUGUACAUCCGAUUUUAAAACCAAACUUUUACAUUAAAGCUAUAAUAGCUUUCAGCCAUAAAGGAUAUGGAUAUUUUCUUAAAGUUCAGGAAGAAGAUGGUAUUGUUGUUACAAAACUUGGACGUGUUUGUUUACAAGAUGAAAAUUAUUAUUCAUAUUUGGAAACGAAACUGGCAUGUACACGUAAUAACUUUUUGUUUAAUGUAGCAACAGCUGCCCACAUAGCAGACGAAAACUUAUAUGUGGCAGCCGGCAAGAAUUUGAAGCAGUCUUAUGAAUAUGAUCCUAAAGGUGGAUCUGCUGUGUGUCUGUUUCCUCUUUCUAAUAUUGAGUCACAUUUUCAAGAAGUUCUGCGAGAUUGCUACGAAGCUGGUACAGGUAUAGAGCCAUUUUGGAUCUUUAAUGCUAAAACGAAAUGUAAACAAAACAUUGACAUAGUACAGAAAAUUCAAGAUGGGACUACAGAUAGUAUUUGUAGUAUUAAAAAGAGACGUGGAAUUCAAUCAGAAAAAGUGAUGGAAGCUAAUGGAUUUUUUGACACAGAUAAGAUAAUCCAGGCAGUAGCUUCUAUACAACAACAUGAACAAACAAUUGUUCUAUUAGGAACAGUGGAUGGAUUUUUGUUGAAGGUACAUAAAUCUGAAGAACGAGAAUAUAUGAGUUUAUAUCUAGGUAAUACUACAUCCCAACAAUCUACAGCUAUAGAAUCUACUAUGUAUGUUGAUAAAGAAAGAUUAUAUCUACUUACUGGUAAUAAGGUUAUAAAGUUUUCCUUAGAUUCAUGUGGAGUACAUAGUGAUUGUGAUUCAUGUUUAUCAAGUUCAGAUCCUCUGGGAUGUGGCUGGUGUAGGGGAAAGUGUACAACAUACAAUGAAUGUGAUAAUGAUUUUAAUCGUAAUCAAUGUCCACCUUCUCUUCAUUCUAUUAAUCCUCUAAAUGGUCCAACUCAAGGUGGAACUUUAUUGACUUUGACUGGUCAAAAUUUUGGAAGCGCAAUAUUAAAAGAUAAAGCCAGUCUGACUGUUGAAAUUUCUAAGAUAAAAUGUGACAUUAAAAAUUCGAAUUCAACAUGGUUAAUAUGUCGAACUGGUCCUGCUCCUGUACAACAGAGACCAGUACAGAUAACAGUUACAGAUAGUAUCAUGUUUGGUAGAAGCUACCAUGUAGAAGGCACUGAUUACUCGGAACAAUAUUUCUCUUAUCAGGAACCAAAAAUAGAGUCUUUUCAACCAAAACAAGGGCCUGUAGCAGGAGGGACUAACAUAAGGAUCAAGGGAUAUAAUUUGAAUAUAGGAGGAUUGCCAAAUGUGUCUGUUGCUUAUAAUUUUACUUGUAUCAUUUUCAAUUUAACUAGUACACAGAUUGACUGUACAACUGUUCCUUGGUCAGAAACAUCUGGUUUCAUAUCAUCAAGAAGAAAAAGAUUUAUAAAUAGAGCUAAAGGAUAUGGUCCACUCAUUGUUAAAAUUGAUGAUGCUACCUUAAGUAUUGAUGAAAAUGAAGAAACUAACUUUUUCUACUUAGAAAACCCGACAAUUGAUCAUAUUUUACCACGUCAAUCUUUUGUUAGUGGUGGUAUACCAAUAACUGUGAGAGGAUCUAACUUGGAUUCAGUAGCUAGACCGUAUAUAGGAGGUUCGUUAGAUGCGAAAGACUUAACACAACAAGAGCUUUGUAAUGUUACGGAAGGAGGAGAAGCUAUGAUUUGUCCAGCUCUUGAUUUUAGUUCUGUCAUCACCAAUGCAGAGAAAACAGAUCCAGAGGAAGUCAAUUUGUGGUUUAUUAUGGAUGGUGUGGAAAAUUUACGCAACUUUCAUCAAACACAGGGGAAAUUAAGUAGUUUUACAUAUUAUCCUGAUCCAGUGUUUGAUAAAUUUCGUGGAGACGGGAAUGUUUUAGAGUUUGAUGUUUCACAAUCAAAUCUUGUCAUUGAAGGUGAUAAUAUAGGAUUAGGUUUUACACAGACAGAUAUAAAAGUUAUUGUAGGAGAUGAUAUAUGUAAAGUAAAAGAUUUAGAAGAAACUAAUAUUAAAUGUAUUCCGAGUAAUAAACCAACAUCUAUAAGUGAAAAUGAACCCAAGAGAAAAGUAGAGGUUCAUGUUGGUAAUCUUCAUUAUGAAAUAGGAUUUGUCAUAUAUACAGCAGGAGCAUCAGCUUCAACAUACCAACUUGUUAUACUGGGUGUAAUAAUAGCUUUAAUCUGUAUAGCCGUUUUCGUUAUAUUAUGUAUAAUGAAGAAAAAACGUAUUGGUUUCUUUAAACCCCCAUGUGAUGAUCGUAGUAUCAGAUAUACACAAGGUGAUCAUAUUGGUAUUGAUAGUUUAACACAACCUGGUGAACAUACUUUUAACCUAGAAAACAGACAAAACAAUUAUACAGAAAGAGAUGCUAUUGCUGCAGCUGCACCUUCAACCCUUAUAGAUGAUGAUCUGUUAGCUUUAAUAACAAAUGAAAAUCUGCUUAUAGACAGUGAACAUUUAACUAAAACUGAAAUAUUGGGCAAAGGUAAUUUUGGCUGUGUAUAUAAAGGGUUUCUUACAUUGCCUGAACAAAAAGGAGAUAUAUUGGUUGCUGUUAAAACUUUACAUCAGAGUAAUCCUCGUGAAAUAGAGCUAAAUGCUUUUCUUCAAGAGGCUCUAUUAAUGAAAGAUUUUCAUCAUGAGAAUGUUCUAGAAUUAAUUGGGAUAUGUCUUGGAUUAGAUGCCAUGCCUCUUGUUGUUCUACCGUUUAUGGAACACGGUGAUUUACUCAGCUACAUCAGAGAUGAAAAUAAUAACCCCACAAUUAAAGAUCUAAUACUGUUCGGUAUAGAUAUAGCUAAGGGAAUGGAAUAUUUAGCUGGCCUUAAGUUUGUUCAUAGAGAUUUAGCUGCCAGAAACUGCAUGUUGGAUCAAGAUUUCCGAGCAAAGGUGGCUGAUUUUGGUUUAGCGAGAGAUAUCUAUGAAAAAGAUUAUUACAGUUCAGACAAUAAAAAAACGAAAUUACCAGUAAAAUGGAUGGCAAUGGAAAGUUUGGAAAAAGGAACGUACAGUGCUAAAUCAGAUGUGUGGUCGUUUGGUGUAGUUUUAUGGGAAUUGAUGACAAGGGGAGUUAAUCCGUAUCCCGAGGUAGAUAACUGGGAUGUUAUACGUUAUUUAAAGGCUGGAAGAAGAAUGGCUCAACCCCAAUACUGUCCUGAUCCUUUGUUUGAGAUCAUGAGACAAUGUUGGAAUGCAAAUCCACAAGAUCGACCUGCUUUUAGUGAUCUUGUGAAUGAAAUUAGUAAUAUGAUACAAAAACUAGAACACAAAACAGGUCCACAGAAACGAAAUAUUGAAAGUACUUAUGUUAAUGUUGAUACAAGUGCUGAAUGUCAUUAUGAUGAAACAGAUAAAUUAAUGUCUGGGGCUACAGGGGGAGCCAUUGGUGGAUCAUCAUCAGAAGUCUAACAACCACAAUUUAUUUUAUAAAGUAUUAUAAUUUUUACAUGUUACUUUAGUAUUGUCUUAGAAAUGUUAAAUUUAAUGUUAUUAAUAGUGUACCAGUAGUAUACAAUCUAGACUCUUUAAGAAAUUGAUUUUUAAUGUGUAACUUUCAUUAUGUUUGCAAUAAAUCAUCAGGUAUUAUAUACGCAUUUCAUUAGAAAUAGACACAUUAUUCUGGUAUGAAUCCAAGACCUCUUCCCCAAAACAGGAUAUACCCCAUGACUGAUUUUUAGGGGAAAAAAACCUGGCAGUUUAUUAUUACUGUUUGUUUGAGAGAGAGAUAAAGAUGGCAGUGUCAGACCAAUAUAAACUUAAAAUAUUUCCCAAUUUUUCCAUGAAAAAAUCAAAUUUGUGUCUUACAAGCAAAUCAAAAGUAUCUAUGGAAUUUAAAGGUGAUUCUAUUUCCGAGAUAUCUGUACUGUAUAGAAUUAUAAAUUAUUCACUUCCACUCCUUAUCUCAGCCAUGAAUGUUUAGCCUAAUAAAUGUGGAUCAUAGGUUGGUUGAAAGUGCUUUUUGUACAUUUUUAUACACCCACAUUUUCAUGUGGACGUAUUAUGCCGUCGCCCCUGUUUGUCCAUCCGUCAACAAUUUGUUUGUGAACACUCAACAGGUCACAAUUUUUAUCCGAUUACGAUGAAACUUAAAAUAUAGGUCUGUCUCUCAAAGAUCUCGAUUCCUUUCGAUAUUGGCAUAUAUUGGACGAUAACUUCAUGGAUUAUGGCCCCUGAUUGUAAGAAAAAUCACAUUUUUAGCUUCUGAACACUCUAGAGGUCACAAUUUUCAUCUGAUUUUGAUGAAACUUAAAAUGCAUGUUUAUAACCCAAUGAUCUUGGUUCCUUUCAAUAUUUGCACAUAUCGGAUCAUAACUUCCUGAAUUAUGGCCCUUGAUUAUACGAAAAAUCGUGUUUUUAGUUUGUGGUCCCUCUUGAGGUCACAAUUUUUAUCCGAUUGAAAAAAACAUUUGAAUAUUUCACCGUUACACCCUAAUGAUGGCUAAGUUAGAAUUUCGUGAAAAUCGGACCAAAACUGCCGGACAAAAUGGCCACCCCUCGUACGCAAAUAUUGUAAAUAUAUCAAGGUUGUCGACCCUCUAGAAGUCACAAUUUUUAUCCGAUUGAAAAAAACAUUUGAAUAUUUCACCGUUACACCCUAAUAAUGGCUAAGUUAGAAUUUCGUGAAAAUCGGACCAAAACUGCCGGACAAAAUGGCCACCCCUCGUACGCAAAUAGUGUAAAUAUAUCAAGUUUGUCGACCCUCUAGAAGUCACAAUGUUGAUCCGAUUUUGAUGAAACUUGAAAUAUAUCUUUAUAACCCAAAGAUCUUGGUUCUUGUAUGUAUGCGUGCAUAUCGUACCAUAACUUCCUGAAUUAUGGCCCUUGAUUUUACGAAAAAAUCACUUUUUGUUUAGUUUGUUCUCUAUCCAUCUCUUGCAAAAUGUGGACUUAUCCUGUCUGGCAGCCGCUGUUUUUUUUUAUAGAAAUAUUUUUAUAUUUAUUUAUCUUGAGAAAUAUGACAUUCUGCAUUACAUGUGAAGGUUUUUGUACUUUAUUAUACUAUACGUCCACAUUCAUAAUGUGGACGUAUAUUGCCGUCUCCCCUGUGUGGGUGAGUGCGCGUGUGUGUCGCCUACAGACCGCAAUUCUUAACUGAUUGUCUUGAAACUUUACAUACUUACUCCUUAUACCCUAAGGAUGUUCCCUAUUUUUUUUGGUGCAUGCCCAUUGCCCAACCCCCAUGGGCAGAGCCACACCCUUUUUUUGUAUUUCUUUCUUUGUCGUCUACAGGUCGCAUUUCUUAUCGAAUCCACUUCAAACUUUGCAUAUUUAUUCCUUAUACCCUAAGGAUCGUCACUAUUGUUUUUGGUACAUGCCCAACCCCAAGGGAGGGGGGUUGGAUGGCUGAAUGGUUAGUGUGCGCGCGCUGUAUCAUAAAGUCUGUCAUUGAGUCGACUGGCGUGGUUUCGAAUCCCCGGUUGUACGUGACAAGGAGUAGGGUCGCCUGUCCAACCUCGUGGGUUUUUUCUGGGUCCUCCGGUUUCCUCCCACUGCUAAAGACCCCUAUGCGCAAGCGAAUAAUUGAAAUAAAAUCAAAAAACCAUAUGUUAGUCCCGAAAUGACCUAGUUUGUGUUGAGUGGAGUUAAACCCCAUUUCUCUCUCUCUCUCGCAGAGCCACGCCCAUUUUCUUUUUGGGUGUCUGUAUGUUGCCUACAGGGCGCAAUGCUUGACUUAUCGUCUUGAAACUUUACAUACUUAUUCCAUAUACCUUAAGGAUGAUCCCUAUUGUUUUUGGUGCAUGCCCGACCCCCAGUGGCAGAGCAACGCCAAUAUUUUGUAUUUUUUUGGCAUCGACAGGCUGCAUUUCUUAACGUAUCAUCUUGAAACUUUGCAUACUUAUUCUUUGUACCCUAAGGAACAGCCCUAUCGUUUGGGGUGCACGCCCAACUCCCAGGGGCAGAGCCACGCCCAUUUUCUUUUUGUGUGUCUGUUUAUCGCCUACAGGCCACAAUUAUUAAUCGAUCGUCUUGAAAAAAUUGCGUAUGAAUUCCUUAUACCCUAAGGAUGACCCCUAUUGUUUUUGGUGCAUGCCUGUCCCCCAGUGGCAGAGCCACGCCCAUUUCUUGUAUUUAUUUGUUUGUCAUCUACAGACCAAAUUUCUUAACAUAUUACCUUGAAACUUUGCAUACUUAUUCCUUCUAUCCUAAGGAACAUCCCUAUAUUUUUUGGUGAAUGCCCAAUCCCCAGGGGCAGAGGCACGCCCAUUUUCUUUUUGUGUGUUAUUGUGUCACUUACAGCUUGCAAUGCUUAAUCAGUCAUCUUUAAAACUGUUUUAUACUUAUUCCUUAUACCCUAAGGCUGACCUCUAUUAUUUUUGGUGCUUGCUCGACCCCCAGGGACAGAGCCACGCCCAAUGUUUGUGUUUCGCCUACAGGCCACAAUUCUUAACAGAUCCUUUUGAAACUUUGCAUACCUAUUUCUUAUACCCUAAGCAUGACAACUGCAUGUCCCAACCACCAGGGGAAGAGCCACGCCCAUAUUUUUGUGUUUAUCGUUUACAGGCCGCAAUUCUGAAUGGAUCAACUUGGUACUUGGCAUAUGUAUUCCUUAUAACCUAAGGACGUCAAUUAUGGAUUUUGGUGAAUGCCCUGACCCCCAGGGGCGAAGGCCACAAUACUGAAUGGAUUAUCUUGGAACUUGGUAUACUUAUUCCUUAUACCCUAUUUAUAUUGUUCCAUAUUCAACCACCAGGGGCAGAGCCACAUCCGAUUUUUGUAUUUAUCAUCUAUAGGCUGCAAUUCUGAAUGGAUCAUCUUGGAACUUUGCAUAUUUAUCCCUUAUACUGAAAGACAGCAACUAUUUAUUUUGGUACAUGCCCCGACUUCCUGGAGCAGUAUAAUUGUCAUAUUACAGCCAUCUCAUAUUUCAUUCUCUUCAUUUUAAAAAGUACCAUAUCAAUCAAAGCUGGAAUGUGGACGUAUAUUGCAGCGUUAGCGAUGCUCUUGGAAUUAUUCUUAACCACAUUGGUUGAUUCGCAGUUUUGAAUGGGAAAACUUGGAGAUGACAUUUUGAAUCUGCAGUAACCCUCAGCCCAGUCCCAAAAAAUUAGUGCUCAGUAUUUUAAAUAUUAUGCGUCGAUAUAUAAAAUUGUUUCAGGGCAUGGUAUGACAUCAUUCUUUCACUCAGCUGCAGUCUUAUACUAUCACAAAACAGGCAGAAUUGACAGGCAGAUGUCUAGAUUCUGUCCAAUUUCUGAUCCUUGCGUUCAUAAGAAUUUGCUCUCAGCUAUGACCUCAAAUGCCAGGUAAUUGACUUAAAUUUUCACAAUUUUAUUGGGGAGAUCCCCCAAAACCCCCCUUGUGUUACUUGCCCCUAUGGCACUCACAGGAUGCCUUUGGCAUGUUUAGCAGAGAGAAAUAGUAAGCUAGCAUAAAUGUUUAAUCUAUAGAAUUUUAACAUUUAAGAUCUAAUCAUGGUUCAAAAAGCUUAAAUAAUUGCCAAGAUGACCCAUAAACAAAGUCCCUUUUCUUCCUGAACAAUUUCAAAUUUGACCAAAUAUAAUGAUUUUAAAAACAUGACAAGGAAAUGAUAUAAAUAUAUUUUGCUAAUUUAAUUUGCUUUUGUAUGUUAUUAUUUAAUUAAUAUUACGAUACGAUAUUAUAUUAUAUUCUAUUAUAUAGCUUUAGCUUUAAUUUUAAUCAUUUAAUAAACCCACAUAUAUUAUAUUAAUUCUAGUUUUUAUUGGAUUUCGCAAAUAGAACCAUAUCACCAGAUUUAAAUAUUCAGUUCUGUAAGUCUCAACACGCCAGAUUGUUCACAUAUUUCUUAAAGUUAAAAAUAUGUGAUCAUAUUUUAAUACCAUGAUAUCUUUCAGUUGAGAUGUUUCAUCAUACACUCUCUUAUUAUAAAGAGUUGUAACAAGUUAGUAUAGGUGAAUAGAUUUGAGUUGAAAAAUGACAUGUUUUGUGUAUGUAAAAUCUAAGAAUAAAGUCCCAAUUUAUCCUCCAUACUUUCAUAUAGGUGUAUAUGAAUUUUCCUACUUCUGUUCCUCACUGUUUUGGUAAAAUAUGAUAGUCAUAACAAUGUUAUUCAUUUAAAUUCAAUUAAUACUCAGCAGAUCUUUUGAUGGUCUCCAGAAUAUCCUGUGUAUUCAUAAUUAGUUUUACAUGUUAUAGUGUACAUUUAUAUCUUGAUGUCGAUAAAAAUUAUUUGAAAUAUUAACAUUUCUGAAUAUGAAAUGGUGCUAAUCAUAAUGGCUUUUACAAAUUAUUGAAUUAAUUAAAUGAUUAUUUCUACACUGAUACUGCUAUUGUAAAAUAUGGUGUAAUCAGACCCAUGGUCUUAAGAGACCGACAUUUUAAUAAUAAUAAUAAUAAUAAUAAUAAAAACUUUAUUUAAUGAGGCAACAUAUUUAGUUUGCAAAAAAACCCAAAAAACUAAUCUUCCAUAGGUCCCUCCUAAGCUACAAAGACAUAUAUACAUGUAAUAUCAGGAUAAAUUUAAAAUCAUUAGAAAUGCAAUAGUAUUUUAAAGUGGGAAGUUUGAUAAGUCACUCCCAAACUACAAAACGUAUACAUUAUACAAGUAGGAUAUAGGAAGAACACUAUAAUUACACAGAAAAUAAAAUAGAAUGCAGUCGCAAGUUAAAAAUAAUAAGUAUGUCAUCAGUUGAAUAUUAUGGUUCCUUCAGUGUGCAAAAUAAAUGAGUUUUCAGUUCAAUCUUAAAAUGUUCAACAUUUUUACACAUCUUUAUAUCAAAAGGCAGAUUGUUCCAUAAAAGACAUGCAGAAUAAUGAAAAGUACGUUUCAUGGAUUCCGCUUUGCAUUUUUGAAGAAAAAGAGAUUUACUGGUCUGUGAACGGAGCAAGAUAUGUGGUAUUAUUUUGUCACUCAUUUCAUCUGUUUGUCUAAAUUGUUUAAAAGAAGUUAGCAACAGAGCGCUAACUAUCAUAAUGUUACGUUAACAUUAGUGAGAUGAAGAAAGUUGUUAAAUUUAAAUUAAUAUAUGACCAAGAUCGGUCCUUGUUCAUUUUAUGGAAUGCGCAGUCUAUUUUACAAUAGGGACUGAAGUUAUCUCCCCUUGUAGGCAUUUUUUGCAAAGAAUCUUUUAAUCUGCUGAAACUUCUGCUGGUUUAUUAUACUUGUAUAUAAUGUGAUUAGUAUUAUACUCUUUCUACUAAAUUUAUAUUUAUAUUCUUUAUUCUUUGAUCUCUUUUUAUAAUUACAUGAUUAUAACUCUGUCAAACCUAUUAUGAAUAAACAUUUUGAAGUGAGCUCAUACAUAUUUGUAAUAUAACUUGUCGAUUUCAUUAAAAUGUUGUAAACUUUGAGAAAAUAUUAUUGCAUUUUAAAGUAGGUUGAAUGCAGACAAAAUAUAACAAUAAAAUGUCACUGUAUGGUUUUAAAAAAAAUUAUAGUGCCAAUUACAUUUGCAUUUGAUUGUGUUUGCAAAGUCUUAAACUCAACACUACUUAUCGUUUAUUCAGGAGGAGCCACAGUGACUAAGUAAGUAAAAUGCUGACUUGCUAGCCUGGAGUUCGCGGGUUCACUGCCGGUGUUGACCAAGAAAGUUAAUUGGGAUUUCCGGCGUGGUUUCCCCUUGUCAGUGGUGCAAAAACCGAGGUCCUGUGUAAAGAUUGGCGUGCACGUAAAAGAUCCUGCGGCAGAUGGAAUUCGAUAUAAGAGUGCACCACUGUCCUGACAAAAUUUCCCAAAAUAGUACACUGCAUGGUGUAUGCACGUCUUCAUUAGCAGAACAGUAGGACAUUAAACCCCAGUUUGGCAGACUCCACCAUUGCUCCAUUAUUACCCGAAAGUUAUUCUCAAUUUUAUAAAUAUUAAUUACAUGUUAUUAUUUACUUAUGUUGUAUAAUUUUCUUAAGCUUACAUUUAAUAAAUCAGUAUUCAUUUUG